GUAGGCAAACGAAUUGACCCACGUGGUAGCACGUGGGUGACUUGAGUGUGAAGCGCCAUUUAAAAUAGGUGGGGCUACAGUUCUUUAACAUUUCUAUGCUCUUCAAUCAUUCUUCUGGGUAAGAAAUUUAAUAACAGUUCACAAUGGCUGACUACUGGACGCAGUGAAGGAGAGCAAGAUGAAGGCACUACAGUUGAACGAGAUGGUCCACUAACUGUACUAUGGAGUAAUACUGAUAGACUCACUCCAUCAACUAGAGUACACUACACUCCACAGAAUUCCAGUUUAAUAUUUGUCAUAGAUAUGGCA
Molecule: long non-coding RNA, 309 nt
Organism: Amphimedon queenslandica
Lineage: Eukaryota; Metazoa; Porifera; Demospongiae; Haplosclerida; Niphatidae
Exons: 3
Source: RefSeq, a predicted model, not a curated record